RNAcentral lists this transfer RNA (70 nucleotides) under Chasmodes bosquianus (striped blenny). RNAcentral's name for it is "tRNA-Pro". It matches the Rfam family "tRNA". From Rfam's summary of the family: Transfer RNA (tRNA) molecules are approximately 80 nucleotides in length. Lineage: Eukaryota; Metazoa; Chordata; Actinopteri; Blenniiformes; Blenniidae. The record is from RNAcentral.
CAAAAAGUAGUUAAAAUUAGAAUCCUAGCUUUGGGAGUUAGGGGUGGGGGUUAAAAUCCCCCCUUUUUGA